Aegilops tauschii subsp. strangulata is the source of this 2996-nucleotide long non-coding RNA. RefSeq lists it as uncharacterized. NCBI's taxonomy places the organism in Eukaryota, Viridiplantae, Streptophyta, Magnoliopsida, Poales, Poaceae. The record is from RefSeq and is a predicted model, not a curated record.
UUCUGGAUUGGAGGGUUUAGAGGAUAAUAAAUGCUCAUUAACUUGAUUUCAGUCUCUUUAGUAUUUAGAUCCAAAUAUGGAUGAGGCUAGCAAGUUUUAGUCCCACUACUUUUAGUUCUGGGACUAAAACUACUUUUAGUCAUGGGACUAAAAGGUAUCAAGCACCCUCUAAGUCCCUCUCAAGUCUCACAAGUCACACAACCCUCACCUAAAAAAAAGUCUCACAACCCUCGACGCCACUUCGCCGCCGCAUGCUCCGCCCACUGCUCGCUCCUUCAUCUGCUGCUGCGGCGACGGCGACCUCCAUGGCCUCCACCGCUACGUCCCUCUGUCCACCGACCCCACAGGCCACAACCCUAAAUCCCACGGCCACCCCUUCCCCUCGUCAUCCAUGACCUCUGCCUCCGCCUUCCACAGCCGCACAUGAUUGUGCCUCUGAUUAUCGACGCGCUCAUUACCCCAAUGCCUUCAGCUGAAAAUGUUCCCCAAGGCUGUACAGCCGGCGCCUUGAUGUCCAUGCCGUAGGCCGGCGCACCUCCAACUCCGACGGCUCUACGAGGCUCUCCGGAUCCACAUCCGCAGCAGAUGGACAGUCUUUGGUGCAUUCCCGGGUAUUGCGAUCGACACACAUUCACCCAUCAUAUGUUGAAUGAAAUAUGCAUCCAGAGUCCAGCAAGUUUGUGCUGGACUAACCUGGAUACAUGCAUCAAACGUAUAUUAAGGUAUUGCUUAUACAAGUUCUCAGGGAAGUAAAGAAAUGCUGCAGUAGGCAACGUACAUGAGCGUAUGAUUCUUAGUUUCUAACUGUAUGUUAUUUUACGGUCUCCUAACUAUUAGUGGCACAUGUUUGGUGUUUGCAUUUCUCCGCUAACCAACAGAGCUCUGUUUUACUGAUAUUUCUGCCGUUUCUGCUAUGUACUUUUAAUAAUCGUAUUGUUAGUAAAACUAAAAAUACUUUGGUAUAGUCUGGCGAAAUUAGGGUGUCUAAUAUUAGCAUAGGUAAGGUAGUUUCGUAAGUUGACACACCAAGCGAUUGGUUAACGAUUAUCUGCUUUGUCCUUGGUCUUGCAUAGAGAACAUUAUCCUAGCAUGUUUGUUUGGUGCUGGUAAAAAAACUUGGUUCCAGCAUUCAGCAUAGUGCAUCUCCAUUUGAGGUUUGCACUAAAACUUGCUGGAACACAGGAAACUUAACCAAGAUCCUUUCUUUUCCUAUAUGGGCCAAGGAGCAGCUGCCGCUAUUGCCUUCUCUUCCUCUUCCUGUUCCAAGCGGCAGUGGCUCCUCCUGCCGUGCUUGUUGCUACACCACUGCGGCGCCCUCCCCUCCGAUAUUGGCCUCUUCUGUGUGGCUACCAUCAUGGGGGUGAAGGGCUGCGGUUGCCAGAGGACACGGCACCCGAUGAUGGCAUGAUCCUCCUCCAUCGCCUCCCUCUGCUUCAUCUUCUCCUUGAAGUCAGCGAGCCGAUAGUGAGGUUCCUGGCGGCAGCAGACAGUUCAUCCACAUUGUAGCGGCCGUGGCAGCAGGUGCUCCGGUCCACUGGUUUUCUUUUUCUUUACCUGAACUUCCUCCAGAUCCUUUUUUUUUUGGUCAUUCAGUUUUCUCCAUUGUUUCUGCAUGUGGUUGACAAUAGCACCAAUUGGAUAUGAAUAUUCUUUUUAUUUAUAUGAAACUAUCUUGCAAAUAGUUCAUGUUAUUAGUCCAACACCUGCUAAAUUUGUUGCUCUGUGAGUUGGAUCCUGAAUUUUUCUGCAACCCAGAAUAGCUUAGAAAUUUCGGCAGCUGUGUUAUCUGCCCAAAUAUCCAUCAUUGCGUAGUUCUGCAUUUUUUGCUGCUCAGCUGGAUCAUGAAGUUUGUUACCUCCUGGUUUAUAUGGUUAGUCAUUGCGCAAUAGUCAGCCUAAGUGGAUUUGUUCCAUGCCAUUUUAGUCAAUAACGUGCUGUUUAUUUGUGUUGGCAAUGGUAGGUAGUCAAACUUUCGAUCUUUUUACUGCUAAUACCUUUUAACACUAGAACAUGAAAAUGAGAAGUGUGAAUUUGUCUCAAAAGGUACUUUACCACUUUAAUUUUUUUGGAAUUCAUAAAUUUAUUGUUAUAAAAAUCCGCGGUCAAAGUUAUGUUCUCAAAACCCUGUCAAUGUUCAAAGUGGCCUUUUUAAGGGGACCAGGGAGUACUUAUACAACAUUAUUCACACAGUGCAUUAUCCUUAUCAUGCAUAUUUCUUCUUGACUUGUUCUGAAUUCGAACCAGAAGAUAGGGCUGCCUGAUUAGAUUAUUGGGAAUGGUGCAAUGUAGUGAUCUCCAAAUACUAAUUCAUUCAGGGAAAUCGUCCAGUGUUUUGGUUUGGUAAAUGUUUCUUUUGUUCCAAUAAAACUACAGGUUUGAUUGAUGGCUGGUUGGAUGGGUUUAAUCUUUACAAGAAAUAUUGACAUUUAAUCCUACUGACUGUGCACCCGUGCAAAAAUUGGAUAUUGUUUUUGUAGGGUGGAGCUACUUAAUCUGCAAGAUGUCAACCGAAGAAGACGCUCUGCCAACAACCUCACAAUAGAUCAGUUAUGGAUAUUGCUCCAACUAAUAUGAACCAGACCACACCCCAUCCAACUAGCCGGUGAUCGAUGUAUUCGUUUGCAGUGUGUGACAGUAGACAACCACUAAUCUAAAAAGGUCGAGUCGAAGUGGUAUAACCAGUUGCAUCUUUCCAUGGCCGAUUUACCUUGAGUUUGUAUGUGUGCCUGGGGGUCAUUCUUUCAAUACAUCUUUCUCCACAGGUUCCUUGCCGCAAGUCAAUGGAGAUGUUCAAGAAGUUGACGAGAGUUAUUCACAGUUUAGAUUGACAGUUAACAUAACUGCGGUUUUUUACAAGGAACAUAGAGUAAUAUUGUAGUAUCUUUCUGGACUUGUGAUUAUAAUUAGCAUUUUCAGUUUUGAAGCAUAAUUAGCAUACUAUACUUGACAUGUAAGACUGGUACACGUGUGAGUCAAAUAUUCUGUUGAUUUUCCAA